RNAcentral lists this ribosomal RNA (376 nucleotides) under uncultured bacterium. Its description in RNAcentral is "bacterial SSU rRNA". It matches the Rfam family "Bacterial small subunit ribosomal RNA", at positions 521 to 895 of the family's 1533-position model. The record is from RNAcentral.
UAAUACAGAGGUCUCAAGCGUUGUUCGGAUUUAUUGGGCGUAAAGCGUGCGUAGGCGGCGGGGUAAGUGAGGUGUGAAAUCCCGGAGCUUAACUCCGGAACUGCACUUUAUACUGCCUUGCUCGAGGGCUGGAGAGGAGACUGGAAUUUACGGUGUAGCAGUGAAAUGCGUAGAGAUCGUAAGGAAGACCAGUGGCGAAGGCGAGUCUCUGGAAAGCUGCUGACGCUGAGGCACGAAGGCCAGGGGAGCAAACGGGAUUAGAUACCCCGGUAGUCCUGGCAGUAAACGGUGCGCGUUUGGUGUGGGAGGAUUCGACCCCUUCCGUGCCGGAGCUAACGCGUUAAACGCGCCGCCUGGGGAGUACGAUCGCAAGAUU